RNAcentral lists this ribosomal RNA (687 nucleotides) under Triticum aestivum (bread wheat). RNAcentral describes it as "partial small subunit ribosomal RNA". Lineage: Eukaryota; Viridiplantae; Streptophyta; Magnoliopsida; Poales; Poaceae. The record is from RNAcentral.
AUGACUAACUCCGUGCUCGACUCACCACCGCAACUCCCCGCCGCCGGUGCCUGGGGCUGCCUGUACGGUGUGCAAGAACCUUUGAAAUGCCAGCGUGUCCCGGUGCUACCGGCCGCUGCCAAGAAGAAGCAGCCGGCGUACGGGGUCAAGAGGAACCUAGAGAUGUGCACCGAGGCGCUCGGGUGCGAGACCGGCGGCGUCGACACAGCCGCCGCCGAUGUCGACGUGGGCAUGGCGAGGAAGAGGCAUGCCUGGGAGCAGGAGGAGGAGGAGACGAAAGCGGAGCCGAUGGAGCGGAGGGCGCGCGUGCUGCCCCCGCCGCUGACGACGCUGGCGGCCGGCGCGACCCGCAUGCGCAUGGUCCACGAGCGGCGCGACGGGCGGCUGGAAGUGUACGCGGUGCGGACGGCCGGGAUGGAGGCCGAGCGGAGCGGCGGGCGUCUCCGCCUCCGCUUCCUCCCCUGCGCCGCCUGCAAGUGCAAUGCCGCCAAGUGCAGCCAACAGGAAUCGCAGGAAGCAGAGGAACACGAGGCUGGUCUGCGUCAGCGGCCGGAGGACGCACACGUCGUCGCAAAGUACGCGCGCGGUGGGCGGUGCGUGGAGGCGGAAGGUGGCGCGACGGCGGCAAGGCGCGGCGGGAAAUGGGAGCCGGAGCAGGCGGCCGCGUUCUGGGUGGCCAUCACCUGA